Long non-coding RNA from Lycium barbarum (goji berry), 1249 nucleotides. RefSeq lists it as uncharacterized. The record is from RefSeq and is a predicted model, not a curated record. The transcript has 3 exons. Lineage: Eukaryota; Viridiplantae; Streptophyta; Magnoliopsida; Solanales; Solanaceae.
UCAGCACCAAGCUGCAACGCGAGGCAGCAACAUCAGACCACCAAAAACUAGCACCAAGCUGCACAAAAGCUGCACCAAACUGCACAAUCAAACUGCACCAAGAACAUCACCGAACUGCACCAAGAACGUCACCGAACUGCACCAAAAACGUCACCAAGCUGCACCAAACUGCACAAAAACCAGCACCAAACAACACCAAAAAAUCAGCACAAAAAAAUAGCACCAAACCACCAAAAGGUAGGGUCAGACCAAACCUGAAAAUAUUACUUUAAAUUCAGGAAAACAAGGCCUUUUUCCUAUUUUUUUGAGCUUUUCUAGAAAAUGGCAUUUACCAGUUAAAACUGCAGAUUCUCCAGGGUUUGUCGAAAUGUUGAAUGAUUAACACUCUUUAUUUUAUACAUAGAAGCGGAAGAAAGAAAUUUUUUUUGGUGGAAAUUCAACAGCGACUAAUCCUUUCGUAGGCUUCUGCCAUUGUUUCAAAGUUACAGGAAAGAUUUCAGUCGUUAUUACACCCCGCAAGUUGGUGCAGGUAUCAACCACACCCAAUUUGUGAAAAGCCGCUCAAAGGAAGCACGUGGCAGAGGCUUGGUGAGUAUAUCAACAACUUGGUCAGGAGAAUGUAAAUGUUUGACUUCAAUCUCCUUGUUCUGAACUUGAUCCUAAACAAAAUGAAAGUCUAUGGCAACGUGGUUCAUCCGACUAUGGAAUACAGGAUUGGCACAGAUAUACGUAGUGCUAACAUUGUCACAAAAUACUGUAGGAGCAACAUCAACAGGAAAAUGAAGCUUCCCAAACACCACACUACAAAGUAUAUAAGUUAAAUCAAAGAGGUUUUCCAAAUUUGUUUGUUUGAAAAGCAAUUUGGUGGGGAAAAUCGAGGUACAUGAAAAAAGACAAUCAAUUUAGCUAUCUAUAAUCUAUGUUCUCUUCUGUAAGAUAAAACUAAGUCGAAAUGUAAAUUUUGACCGCAAAUUUAAUUGUUCUUGAAGAAACGACAAACAUGAAACAAAAGUUUGAAUAUUAUUUUAGCAUUAUCUAUUCUUGAAUUACUACAAAUAUUUUUAUUUUAUGAAUUUGUUUCUAAACAAACUCAAGACAAAAAAGCUAGUUUAAAACUUGCCUGCAAAUAAAACUUGACGGAAAUAACAAGAAAAAUAUUAUUUUCUUCAAAUGAUCUGUCAAUUUUACUAUUUGGAUUAUGUUUGCAAAUAAAUGUUAUAGGAAAACAUGUUACUUGAGAAAAACUAAA